This 422-nucleotide ribosomal RNA is filed under the name Acanthamoeba genotype T4. Its description in RNAcentral is "SSU rRNA". It matches the Rfam family "Eukaryotic small subunit ribosomal RNA", at positions 779 to 1098 of the family's 1831-position model. The record is from RNAcentral. Lineage: Eukaryota; Discosea; Longamoebia; Acanthamoebidae.
GGCAGAUCCAUUUUCUGCCACCGAAUACAUUAGCAUGGGAUAAUGGAAUAGGACCCUGUCCUCCUAUUUUCAGUUGGUUUUGGCAGCGCGAGGACUAGGGUAAUGAUUAAUAGGGAUAGUUGGGGGCAUUAAUAUUUAAUUGUCAGAGGUGAAAUUCUUGGAUUUAUGAAAGAUUAACUUCUGCGAAAGCAUCUGCCAAGGAUGUUUUCAUUAAUCAAGAACGAAAGUUAGGGGAUCGAAGACGAUCAGAUACCGUCGUAGUCUUAACCAUAAACGAUGCCGACCAGCGAUUAGGAGACGUUGAAUACAAAACACCACCAUCGGUGCGGUCGUCCUUGGCGCGUUGGUCUUCAAAAGCCAGCGCGGGGGGGCGGCUUAGCCCGGUGGCACCGGUGAAUGACUCCCCUAGCAUCUUGUGAAAA